RNAcentral lists this transfer RNA (84 nucleotides) under Candidatus Epulonipiscium sp. Its description in RNAcentral is "tRNA-Leu". It matches the Rfam family "tRNA". Rfam says of the family: Transfer RNA (tRNA) molecules are approximately 80 nucleotides in length. Lineage: Bacteria; Bacillati; Bacillota; Clostridia; Lachnospirales; Lachnospiraceae. The record is from RNAcentral.
GCGGGUGUGGCGGAAUAGGCAGACGCAGCAGACUCAAAAUCUGCCGGUGGCAACACCGUGGGGGUUCGACUCCCUUCAUCCGCA